GUCUAUGGCCAUACCACCCUGAACGUGCCCAAUCUCAUCUGAUCUCGUAAACUAACCAGGGUCAGGCCUGGUUAGUAUUUGGAUGGGAGAAAGAUCUCAGGGCGAUCUGGACC
This 113-nucleotide ribosomal RNA is filed under the name Microcebus murinus (gray mouse lemur). The record is from RNAcentral. Lineage: Eukaryota; Metazoa; Chordata; Mammalia; Primates; Cheirogaleidae.